Molecule: ribosomal RNA, 404 nt
Filed under: Verrucomicrobiota bacterium
Lineage: Bacteria; Pseudomonadati; Verrucomicrobiota
Description: Verrucomicrobia bacterium partial 16S ribosomal RNA
Rfam family: Bacterial small subunit ribosomal RNA
Source: RNAcentral
UGGGGAAUAUUGCGCAAUGGGGGAAACCCUGACGCAGCAACGCCGCGUGCGGGAUGAAGGCCUUCGGGUUGUAAACCGCUUUCAGCAGGGAAGACAUCGACGGUACCUGCAGAAGAAGCCCCGGCUAACUACGUGCCAGCAGCCGCGGUAAUACGUAGGGGGCGAGCGUUAUCCGGAUUUAUUGGGUUUAAAGGGUGCGCAGGUGGUCCUGCAAGUCAGUGGUGAAAAGCUGAGGCUCAACCUCAGCCUUGCCGUUGAAACUGCAAGACUUGAGAGUACAUGAUGUGGGCGGAAUGCGUAGUGUAGCGGUGAAAUGCAUAGAUAUUACGCAGAACUCCGAUUGCGAAGGCAGCUCACAAAGGUAUAUCUGACACUGAGGCACGAAAGCGUGGGGAGCAAACAGG